CGGCGUGCCUAAUACAUGCAAGUCGAACGCGCAGCGAGAGGUGCUUGCACCUUUCAAGCGAGUGGCGAACGGGUGAGUAACACGUGGAUAACCUGCCUCAAGGCUGGGGAUAACAUUUGGAAACAGAUGCUAAUACCGAAUAAAACUUAGUAUCGCAUGAUAUCAAGUUAAAAGGCGCUACGGCGUCACCUAGAGAUGGAUCCGCGGUGCAUUAGUUAGUUGGUGGGGUAAAGGCUUACCAAGACGAUGAUGCAUAGCCGAGUUGAGAGACUGAUCGGCCACAUUGGGACUGAGACACGGCCCAAACUCCUACGGGAGGCUGCAGUAGGGAAUCUUCCACAAUGGGCGCAAGCCUGAUGGAGCAACGCCGCGUGUGUGAUGAAGGCUUUCGGGUCGUAAAGCACUGUUGUAUGGGAAGAAAUGCUAAAAUAGGGAAUGAUUUUAGUUUGACGGUACCAUACCAGAAAGGGACGGCUAAAUACGUG
This 485-nucleotide ribosomal RNA is filed under the name uncultured bacterium. Its description in RNAcentral is "bacterial SSU rRNA". It matches the Rfam family "Bacterial small subunit ribosomal RNA", at positions 40 to 507 of the family's 1533-position model. The record is from RNAcentral.